GGCCGAAAGGCGUAGUCGAUGGGAAACGGGUUAAUAUUCCCGUACUUCUUACAAUUGCGAUGGGGGGACGGAGAAGGCUAGGUGGGCCUGGCGACGGUUGUCCAGGUUCAAGUGCGUAGGCUUAAGAGUUAGGUAAAUCCGGCUCUUUUUAAGGCUGAGACACGACGUCGAGCAUCUACGGAUGUGAAGUCAUUGAUGCCAUGCUUCCAGGAAAAGCCUCUAAGCUUCAGAUUGUAAGGAAUCGUACCCCAAACCGACACAGGUGGUCGGGUAGAGAAUACCAAGGCGCUUGAGAGAACUCGGGU
RNAcentral lists this ribosomal RNA (305 nucleotides) under Vibrio parahaemolyticus. RNAcentral's name for it is "bacterial LSU rRNA". It matches the Rfam family "Bacterial large subunit ribosomal RNA", at positions 1400 to 1705 of the family's 2925-position model. Lineage: Bacteria; Pseudomonadati; Pseudomonadota; Gammaproteobacteria; Vibrionales; Vibrionaceae. The record is from RNAcentral.